Molecule: long non-coding RNA, 699 nt
Organism: Oncorhynchus tshawytscha (Chinook salmon)
Lineage: Eukaryota; Metazoa; Chordata; Actinopteri; Salmoniformes; Salmonidae
Source: Ensembl
ACAGGGGGUACCGGUACAGAGUCAAUGUGGAGGCUAUAUACAGGGGGUACCGGUACAGAGUCAAUGUGGAGACUAUAUACAGGGGGUACCGCUACAGAGUCAAUGUGGAGGCUAUAUACAGGGUGUUACGGUACAGAGUCAAUGUGGAGGCUAUAUACAGGGGGUACCGGUACAGAGUCAAUGUGGAGGCUAUAUACAGGGUGUUAUGGUACAGAGUCAAUGUGGAGGCUAUAUACAGGGUGUUACGGUACAGAGUCAAUGUGGAGGCUAUAAUGUGGAGGCAUAUAAGUCAUUUAGCUCGUCUGGUAGGCUCGUGUCACCGGGCAGCUCACGGCUGUGCUUCCCUUUGUAGUCUGUAAUAGUUUUCAAGCCCUGCCACAUCCGACAAGCAUCAGAGCCGGUGUAGUACGAUUCAAUCUUAGUCCUGUAUUGACGCUUUGCCUGUUUGGUGGUUCGUUGGAGGGAAUAGCAGAUUUCUUAUAGGCUUCCGGGUUAGAGUCCCGCUCCUUGAAAGCGGCAGCUCUUCCCUUUAGCUCAGUGUGGAUGUUGCCUGUAAUCUAUGGCUUCUGGUUGGGGUAUGUACGUACAGUCACUGUGGGAACCCUGGCAUUCCUCUGCUAUGUUGUGUUCCAUGAUGUUGCCUGUAAUCUAUGGCUUCUGGUUGGGGUAUGUACGUACGGUCACUGUGGGAACCCUGGC